Long non-coding RNA from Passer domesticus (house sparrow), 758 nucleotides. RefSeq lists it as uncharacterized. The record is from RefSeq and is a predicted model, not a curated record. Lineage: Eukaryota; Metazoa; Chordata; Aves; Passeriformes; Passeridae. The transcript has 3 exons.
GGGCCGGGCGGGGGGCGAGGGCCGGCCUGCCCCUCCUCCCGGCCCAGCAGCGCUGCCCUCGGCUCGCCGGGGCCAGCGCAGACCCAGCGCCUGAAGGAGCCAGGAGGGGAGGCGGGAACGCCCUCCGGCAACUGCAGCAGCAUCGCCCGUCGCCUUUGUAUCGGCAAACUGCCUCCAUUUUGAGCAGCUGCAGGCACUGAGCCCACGCUGGAGGGCAAACUUCAGCUUCCCAAGGCGAGGAAGAAAAAUCAUCGGGAGAUCGGUGUUAGCGCUGACACAGUAUUGUUAGUGCGCCCAGUUGUACACCACUCCUGUGGGCAGAGUAAGCUACACAUUCUAUACCAAAUCCUGAAGAAUGCAUUAGAGAGACUGGCUUGAGGUAGAGACUGUCCUUACAAUGCAUCCAAGAAGCAAACUUUGGAAUCUUUGUUCCAGAAAACAAGCCAAAACUACCUCAGAGCUGGGUGAGGUUAUACAUCUCUGCACAGAACCACGAGUGCAGCAACACGAGGAUCUGCAAGAAGGAAGCAUACAGCCUGCACAGUGAAGCCUUAUUUGCUAUGGCUACAGAAAGUCUUUAAAGCUCUGCAGUUUAUUUUCUAGUUUGCAGUGCAGUAAUAAAGGAGUUUGUCUUUUUUUGAAAUAAGUAAUUUAUUUAUAUGAAAUAAGUCAUUUAUGAGCUAAGAGCCACUGGCACUCUAGGCCCCCCUCCUCUCCUACUGAUGAGGAAGCCGGGCUCUUCCUUACUCUCCUUCUCA